This 128-nucleotide ribosomal RNA is filed under the name Bacillota bacterium. RNAcentral describes it as "partial 16S ribosomal RNA". It matches the Rfam family "Bacterial small subunit ribosomal RNA", at positions 1 to 139 of the family's 1533-position model. Lineage: Bacteria; Bacillati; Bacillota. The record is from RNAcentral.
GUCAUGGAGAGUUUGAUCCUGGCUCAGGACGAACGCUGGCGGCGUGCCUAAUACAUGCAAGUCGAGCGGUUCCUUCGGGAGCAGCGGCGGACGGGUGAGGAACACGUGAGUAACCGGGCAUCCAGUGG